UAAUAUACCAUUUAUUAAGCUGAG
RNAcentral lists this microRNA (24 nucleotides) under Bombyx mori (domestic silkworm). RNAcentral describes it as "bmo-miR-3386-3p". Lineage: Eukaryota; Metazoa; Arthropoda; Insecta; Lepidoptera; Bombycidae. The record is from miRBase by way of RNAcentral.